CGGGGUGUGGCGCAGCUUGGUAGCGCGCGUUGUUCGGGACGACGAGGUCGCAGGUUCAAAUCCUGUCACCCCGA
RNAcentral lists this transfer RNA (74 nucleotides) under Arthrobacter echini. It matches the Rfam family "tRNA". Rfam says of the family: Transfer RNA (tRNA) molecules are approximately 80 nucleotides in length. Their secondary structure includes four short double-helical elements and three loops (D, anti-codon, and T loops). The record is from Rfam by way of RNAcentral. Lineage: Bacteria; Bacillati; Actinomycetota; Actinomycetes; Micrococcales; Micrococcaceae.